Molecule: non-coding RNA, 3050 nt
Organism: Misgurnus anguillicaudatus (oriental weatherfish)
Lineage: Eukaryota; Metazoa; Chordata; Actinopteri; Cypriniformes; Cobitidae
Source: RefSeq, a predicted model, not a curated record
UGAGGUUCUAUAUAGAACCGUGGGGUUCUAUACUUGGCCAAUAGAACCUUUUACCAAAAAACGGGUUCCAUAUAGAACCCUUGGAAGGCAAAGAACCAUUUUUAUUAAAAUGGUUCUAUAAUUCACGUUUUGUGACUGAAGUGUAAACUAAAGAUUACACAAUAAUUGCAGACCUACACAACUCAUUUACAAACCUACACAACUCAUUCACAAACCUUUUUGUGUCAAUAGGUUGUGGUCAAAUAAAGAGAGAGUCAACAAAUAGGCUACUAAUAUUUAGUGUACACUGUAAAAAAUCCAACUAAUGAAAUGUUGGAUGGGCAAAAAUAUAUAAGUUAAACCAAUUGUUUUGCUUGAGCUAGUUGAGAAGAUCUGUGUUUAAAAUAUUAAAUGAAUGAAUGGUUAUUUUCAAAUCCAGUCAAAAUUCAGAAUGGCUAGUGUUGACUGAACUAAUUAAGACAAAUCUGGUAAAUAUGUGGACUUAUGACAGCUAUGUUUCCUGACAACAAAAUGCUCAUAAUAUUACUGUUAUUUGGUCACAAAAUGUAAUUGUAAGAGUUGUUCAUGCGUGAAUGUAUGUGCUUAAAGUUUAAAUAUGCGGUCGGUUAAUAAAGAUAGCGUCUAUUUAAAAAUGUGCUCGGACACUUUCGGACGUAGAUGAGCUCCAUAUAAGCUCCAUAAAAUCACAGACACUUAAGCGCUCACACCCCGCCCAGCGCAGCCUCUCCUCGGCAAGCCCAUCAGACUGCUGGCUCUGAUAUCUCUGUGGCGUUCAAACAUGCGAUUUAAUUCAUUUUAAUUUCUCAUACUUAACAAUGAAAGGGUUAUGUUUUAAAUCAUAUUUUAGGAUUGCACUUAAUUGAUAUUGCUGUUGAGUGAUGUUUCAUAUCUUUUACAUUUGUUAUAACCGGACUGCAUGCGAAUUUGAACUUCAGAGCUGAAGGAGCGGGUGGAGAAAUAGUCCCAAUAUCAUAACAAUCUUAAAUAAAACUUCUAAAUAUGCCCGUGUGUGUACCCGUGUGCGCGCGCGCGUGCGCGCGACCCGCUCGCGCGCGCCUGUGUAUGUACAGUAUGUGCGUGAGUUUUUAAUUUAAAAUGUCUUAACUUAACUCGGAAGGAUCUGAAUCACAGGUCAUUUCAUCUGAGAUCAUUCCGCAUGUAACAGCCCGGAAUCACUCACUGUUUCCCACAACGACACAAGUCAUCAGCCGUUUCCUCAAGGUCACGUCAGAGCGGUGAUGAUGUGGAGAAGGCAGACCAGACCACCACCAUACGCGAAGAUGAGGCUCGAGGCGUGACAGUUAUUUUUUCAAACUGAGGAGUUCGGACUCCGGACCGGCAUUUCUGCUUGUUUGUACCCUGAGAUAAGUAAACUUUCUACAUUUUUGAACCGAUAUUACUGAAAUAUUUAGUAUAAUUAGUUAAUAUUUAUUUUGUUAGAGUAGGUCUUGUGCUAAAUAGUGAUACUAGAAGCUACAUUUAUAAUAUUUACCUCAGUUAAAAAAUACUGCUGGUAACGUUAAAGCACUGACGGGCUUCGUCAACCGUCAGUUAUAAAAGCUCUGUUAAAUACAUUUUGUUCCUGGUUUUAAUGAAUUACGUUACAGUCCUGCUUUAUUUCUUUGUCAUUUUAAAUUAAUUUGCCAAGCACAAUAAGACAGCUGUGUUGUAAGGAGACGAAAUUCGAGAUAAAAUGGCCCCAAACAUCAUCAGGAGUGCAAAAGAAGGAAGUAAAAAACAUCUCUACGCCAAUCUCAUUGGAGAGGAAACCACAGAAGGUCUGGUGAGGAAUGCUGCACUUAUGUUAUUGCAAGCAUUAUUUCAAGAAAAUCCCAGCUUCCUUGACUGUGUAAAUAGUCAUACAGCUCCACAUCAAUUAUUAUGAGUCUUGUUGGUUCGAACCCAAAGGUCCCACACCAACCAUAGUGUUCAACGGCUCUCCUGAUCUCCUCAAAUCUGAAAGUAUCAACUUUAUAAUGGACAAUGUGAACUUAAUAUGUGGAAGACAUUGACAUCACAGGCUGUGGAAUGACUGUGUCACAGGUCGGAGAAGCGAACCGCCCCUGUCGCGGAUCACGCUCCUCCUAGUUCCACCUCGAGGAGGUCCCAAAGCACCCCAAUGACCAGACGAACCAGAGAUAAGUAAAAUAUAGAAAUAGAAACUUUAUUUAAAUUAUUUAAAGCUAAAGUGGGGAAUGGGAAAGGGAAUGUAAAAAUCUCGCUUCUCGCCCUCAGGGGGAGUAUUACGGGGCCAGGGACGUUGGAGGGGUUUCCACGUGACUACAGCUGGAACACCGCUACAGAGCGUAUCUGGGUGGGUUGGGCACACACCAUCGCGGCGGCCCCUGAUGGCAUCCACAAAGGUCCAAGACGCUCCUAAGCUCCUAGCCGUAGCAGAACUACGUAUUUCAGCACCCGAAGGACUAACAACCCAGCCGGCAUCUGCAGCGUAUAUCCAACGCGAUCAAACUUCACUCUGACAAGUAACUUCCUAUACACAACCACGUCGUCCUUUCGCCCGGACCAGCCCCGCACUCUUUCCGCCCGCUACCUAGCGGUCGCCGGAUCAGCAGAGCCUGCGGACUCUUCGGAGGCUGGUCUUCGUUGUGCUGCCCAAGGCGGAAGUUGACUCGCCCGAAAAUCGACCCUUCCAGUAACUUCUACCUUCUCUCUUUAUAUCCUCCUCCACUCACACAGCUGUGCCUUGUUUCAGCGAGUGCGGGGAUUCCCGGGGAACCCGGAAGUGCCGGUAUCUGUACAAACCGGGCCGGGCGAAACCUCUUCACUCUCCUUUUGGUUCCGCCCCGCAUAGUCACUUCGUGACAACUGUUUGCGUUUUUUUUCUCCUCAAUGUUCAAUACCCUUUUGCCAUUAAGCACACAGUGACUUUAAUUUAUAAAAUAUAUGCUGAAGUUUUAAUACCUGUACAAAACAAAUGUACAAUCAACUUGUGUAAAUUGUCAUUCUAUUUAAUAGAUUGUUCAUGAAUUGUCUUUAAAUGCAUUGUGAUUUCGGUAACACUUUACAAUAAAGUUCAUUAGUUAACAUUA